AAGGUAGCGAAAUUCCUUGUCGGGUAAGUUCCGACCUGCACGAAUGGCGUAACGACUUCCCCACUGUCUCGACCAGGAGCUCGGCGAAAUUGCAGUACGAGUAAAGAUGCUCGUUAAGCGCAGAAGGACGAAAAGACCCCGGGACCUUUACUAUACCUUGGUAUUGGCGUUAGGCGCGGAUUGUGUAGCAUAGGCGGGAGGCUUCGAAGCAUGGGCGCCAGCCCGUGUGGAGCCGCAAGGUGAAAUACCGCUCUGUUCUCGUUUGACGUCUAACCUCGAACAGUCAUCCUGUUCAGGGACAGUGCCUGGCGGGUAGUUUAACUGGGGCGGUUGCCUCCCAAAGAGUAACGGAGGCGCUCAAAGGUCCGCUCAGCCCGGUUGGCAAUCGGGUUUCGAGUGUAAUCGCACAAGCGGGCUUGACUGCGAGAACGACGGUUCGGGCAGGGACGAAAGUCGGAGAUAGUGAUCCGGUGCCGGCGCACGGGCGCGGCAUCGCUCAACGGAUAAAAGGUACCCCGGGGAUAACAGGCUGAUCAUUCCCAAGAGUCCAUAUCGACGGGAUGGUUUGGCACCUCGAUGUCGGCUCGUCGCAUCCUGGGGCUGGAGCAGGUCCCAAGGGUUCGGCUGUUCGCCGAUUAAAGCGGCACGCGAGCUGGGUUCAGAACGUCGUGAGACAGUUUGGUCUCUAUCCUCUGCGCUCGUUGGAAUCCUGAGGAGGCCUGCCCAUAGUACGAGAGGACCUGGGUGGACGGACCUCUGGUAUGCCGGUUGUCGCGCCAGCGGCAUGGCCGGUUGGCUACGUUCGGGAGGGAUAACCGCUGAAAGCAUCUAAGCGGGAAGCCUGCUCCAAGAUUAGGAUUCCUUGACGCUCCCCGGAGCGUUUGUAGCCCGCAUGUUGAACACGUGUUCGAUAGGCCGGAGGUGGAAGCCCCGCGAGGGGUGGAGCCGACCGGUACUAACGGACGAAAGGCAACACCAA
RNAcentral lists this ribosomal RNA (979 nucleotides) under metagenome. RNAcentral's name for it is "bacterial LSU rRNA". It matches the Rfam family "Bacterial large subunit ribosomal RNA", at positions 1953 to 2925 of the family's 2925-position model. The record is from RNAcentral.